Molecule: transfer RNA, 67 nt
Filed under: Albinaria caerulea
Lineage: Eukaryota; Metazoa; Mollusca; Gastropoda; Stylommatophora; Clausiliidae
Description: tRNA-Arg
Source: RNAcentral
AAUAUUGAAGCGAACAAGUCGCACUGAGUUUCGACCUCAGCUUUGAUUAGCCCAUUUUCCAAUAUUA